Molecule: transfer RNA, 73 nt
Filed under: Ictidomys tridecemlineatus (thirteen-lined ground squirrel)
Lineage: Eukaryota; Metazoa; Chordata; Mammalia; Rodentia; Sciuridae
Description: Spermophilus tridecemlineatus (thirteen-lined ground squirrel) tRNA
Rfam family: tRNA
About the family: Transfer RNA (tRNA) molecules are approximately 80 nucleotides in length. Their secondary structure includes four short double-helical elements and three loops (D, anti-codon, and T loops).
Source: Rfam by way of RNAcentral
GGGAUUGUGGCUUAGUGGUAUAGCAUUUGCUUAGCAUGCAUAAGGCCCUGGGUUUGAUUCCCCAGCAUUGCUA